AGAGAUGGGGUUUCACUAUGUUGUUCAGGCUGGUCUUAAACUCCGGGGCUCAAAUGAUCCUCUGUCUCAGCCUCCAAAAGUGCUGGAAUUACAGUCAUGAGCCACUGCAACUGAAUUGCCUUUUUUUUUUUUUUUUUUUUAAGAGACAUUCUUGCUAUGCUGCCCAGCUGGAGUGUAGUGGUGGGAUCACAGCUCACUGCAGGUUCAACCUCCUGGGCUCAAGUGAUCCCUCAGGCUCAGGUGAUCCCCCUGCCUUAGCCUCCAGAGUAAGUAGGACUAUAGGCUAGCCUCCAGAGUAGGUAGGACUAUAUGCCCAGCUAAUCCAGAUACCCUUUUUAUUAAAAAUCUGAAAAUCAGGCCGGGACCAGUGGCUCACACCUGUAAUUGCAGCACUUUGGGAGGACAAGGUGGGUGGAUCAUGAGGUCGGGAGUUCGAGACCAGCCUGACCAAUAUGGUAAAACCCCGUCUCUACUACAAUUACAAAAAUUAGCCAGGUGUGGUGGCAUGCACCUGUAGUUCCAGCUACUCGG
Molecule: non-coding RNA, 531 nt
Filed under: Pan troglodytes (chimpanzee)
Lineage: Eukaryota; Metazoa; Chordata; Mammalia; Primates; Hominidae
Source: RNAcentral